UUCUUCGGGGCAGGGUGACCGCAUUGGCGGAAUUCCCGACCGGCGGUAUAGUCCGCGAACUGCUGUGGUCCUCCAUGGCGGCCGAUCCGGUGCGAUUCCGGAACCGACAGUACAGUCUGGAUGAGAGAGGAA
This 132-nucleotide non-coding RNA is filed under the name uncultured Blautia sp. RNAcentral's name for it is "FMN riboswitch (RFN element)". It matches the Rfam family "FMN riboswitch aptamer (RFN element)". Rfam says of the family: The RFN element is a highly conserved domain that is found frequently in the 5'-untranslated regions of prokaryotic mRNAs that encode for flavin mononucleotide (FMN) biosynthesis and transport proteins. This element is a metabolite-dependent riboswitch that directly binds FMN in the absence of proteins. In Bacillus subtilis, the riboswitch most likely controls gene expression by causing premature transcription termination within the 5' untranslated region of the ribDEAHT operon and precluding access to the ribosome-binding site of ypaA mRNA. Lineage: Bacteria; Bacillati; Bacillota; Clostridia; Lachnospirales; Lachnospiraceae. The record is from RNAcentral.